This 433-nucleotide ribosomal RNA is filed under the name Streptomyces sp. SID14515. RNAcentral describes it as "bacterial SSU rRNA". It matches the Rfam family "Bacterial small subunit ribosomal RNA", at positions 1 to 434 of the family's 1533-position model. The record is from RNAcentral. Lineage: Bacteria; Bacillati; Actinomycetota; Actinomycetes; Kitasatosporales; Streptomycetaceae.
CAUUCACGGAGAGUUUGAUCCUGGCUCAGGACGAACGCUGGCGGCGUGCUUAACACAUGCAAGUCGAACGAUGAAACCGCUUCGGUGGUGGAUUAGUGGCGAACGGGUGAGUAACACGUGGGCAAUCUGCCCUUCACUCUGGGACAAGCCCUGGAAACGGGGUCUAAUACCGGAUAACACUCUGUCCCGCAUGGGACGGGGUUAAAAGCUCCGGCGGUGAAGGAUGAGCCCGCGGCCUAUCAGCUUGUUGGUGGGGUAAUGGCCUACCAAGGCGACGACGGGUAGCCGGCCUGAGAGGGCGACCGGCCACACUGGGACUGAGACACGGCCCAGACUCCUACGGGAGGCAGCAGUGGGGAAUAUUGCACAAUGGGCGAAAGCCUGAUGCAGCGACGCCGCGUGAGGGAUGACGGCCUUCGGGUUGUAAACCUCU